RNAcentral lists this ribosomal RNA (502 nucleotides) under uncultured bacterium. RNAcentral describes it as "bacterial SSU rRNA". It matches the Rfam family "Bacterial small subunit ribosomal RNA", at positions 15 to 518 of the family's 1533-position model. The record is from RNAcentral.
GAUCAUGGCUCAGGAUGAACGCUAGCGGCAGGCCUAAUACAUGCAAGUCGAACGGUAAACCCCUCGGGGGGUGAGAGUGGCGACGGGUGCGUAACGCGUAUGCAACCAGCCCCCCUCACCGGGAUAGCCGGUGGAAACGCCGGAUAAUACCGGAUGCGCAUCUGGGGAGGCAUCUCCCGAGGUGCAAGGCGGAGACGCGGAGGGGACGGCAUGCGUCCCAUUAGAUGGUUGGCGGGGUGACGGCCCACCAAGUCGACGAUGGGUAGGGGAUCUGAGAGGACGGUCCCCCACACUGGUACUGAGACACGGACCAGACUCCUGCGGGAGGCAGCAGUAAGGGAUAUUGGGCAAUGGGGGGAACCCUGACCCAGCCCAUGCCGCGUGAGGGAAUGAGGCCCUACGGGUCGUGAACCUCUUUUACACGGGGACAAGGACGGUGUCGUGAACGCCGUUUGAGGGUACCGUGGGAAUUAGCGUCGGCUAACUCCGUGCCAGCCGCGGC